RNAcentral lists this non-coding RNA (29 nucleotides) under Mus musculus (house mouse). The record is from RNAcentral. Lineage: Eukaryota; Metazoa; Chordata; Mammalia; Rodentia; Muridae.
UAAGUACGCCAUGUGAUAGAUACAGUGCC